AUACGUAGGUGACAAGCGUUAUCCGGAUUUACUGGGCGUAAAGGGCGUGUAGGCGGUCUUGCAAGUCAGAAGUGAAAUUCCUGAGCUCAACUCGGGCGCUGCUUCUGAAACUGCAGGACUUGAGUGCUGGAGGGGAUAGCGGAAUUCCUAGUGGAGCGGUAAAAUGCGCAGAUAUUAGGAAGAACACCGGUGGCGAAGGCGGAUGUCUUGACAGUAACUGACGGAGAGGCGCGAAAGCGGGGGGAGCAAACAGGAUUAUAUCCCCUGGUAGUCCACGCUGUAAACGAUGAAUACUAGGUGUAGGGGGUAUCGACUCCCUCUGUGCCGCAGUUAACACAAUAAGUAUUCCGCCUGGGGAGUACGGCCGCAAGGUUGAAACUCGAAGGAAUUGACGGGG
This 397-nucleotide ribosomal RNA is filed under the name uncultured bacterium. RNAcentral's name for it is "partial 16S ribosomal RNA". It matches the Rfam family "Bacterial small subunit ribosomal RNA", at positions 523 to 918 of the family's 1533-position model. The record is from RNAcentral.